UACGUAGGAUGCGAGCGUUGUUCGGAAUUAUUGGGCGUAAAGCGUACGUAGGUGGUAUUGUAAGUCUGAUAUUAAAGACCGAAGCUUAACUUCGGGAAUGUAUAAGAAACUGUAAUACUAGAGGCUAGUAGAGGAAGCUGGAAUUCUCAGUGUAGCGGUGAAAUGCGUAGAUAUUGGGAAGAACACCAGUGGCGAAAGCGAGCUUCUGGGCUAGUACUGACGCUGAGGUACGAAAGCGUGGGGAGCAAACGGG
RNAcentral lists this ribosomal RNA (253 nucleotides) under uncultured bacterium. RNAcentral's name for it is "partial 16S ribosomal RNA". It matches the Rfam family "Bacterial small subunit ribosomal RNA", at positions 524 to 776 of the family's 1533-position model. The record is from RNAcentral.